Molecule: long non-coding RNA, 1196 nt
Organism: Amphibalanus amphitrite
Lineage: Eukaryota; Metazoa; Arthropoda; Thecostraca; Balanomorpha; Balanidae
Exons: 3
Source: RefSeq, a predicted model, not a curated record
GAGAAGACAGCUGACGUCUUUUCGCUCGGAUGUGUCUUCCACUUCAUCAUCUUCCCCGGACAGCAUCCUUUUGGCGAUAUGUCCCACAGGAUGGCAAACAUCCAACAGGGAAAACCGUGCCUCGCGAACAUCGAAGAUCCCAAAUCAGUGAGCGUAGCGACAAGGCAUCUGAUAGAAGAAAUGAUACAGUUAGAUCCAACAGAAAGACCAUCGAGUACCUACGUGAUCAACCAUCCGGCUUUGUGGACAUCAGAGCGAACGGAAAAGUUUUUCCAGGCUGUCAGCGACUGCAUCAAAGAAGACAAAGAACAUGGCCCUGUGCUGAAGGAGGCUGUCAAUGAAGAACUCGAUCUUGCGUUCGUCACAGAACUGGUCAAACUGAAAGAAUGGAAGAAAGUCGUCGACGCCACUCUGGAUAAAGGGGCUUUCAAGAGCUACCAGGGGACCACUGCAGAACUACUUAGGUUGAUAAGAAACAAGGUGAUGUAAAAUAUUAUUAUCUUUGCUUGUUUUUCGUUUACAUUAGCGACGCACCACCAACGAAGGUCGAUUAGCAAACACCUCAUUUCGUAGAGUAAAAUUUUCACGAUGCAAAAUGCACAUUGCACAAUUCACAUCCAAGAUGGUAUCUCGAAGAAGCGCUACACAGAUCAGCACCAGUACACAUUGCACUACUCCCACUUUUAAGGAUCUGCUCCCUCUGCAUAAAGCUCGGAUUACCAAUGUAAAAUACCUUAAAUUCCUCCACAUGCCGGUGGACUAAAUUUUCCUUAGACUGCUAUAGGAGGGAUGUUUUAUGCCCCUUCUAACUCCCAUCUUCGGAAAGGUAGCGACACGCAGUAGUACGAACGCAUCAAAUUUCACCAUACAGUUAUUGUUAUAUCAGGCAAAGGGGGGUUCCGGACAAAAUAUCGAAAAGCAAAAUAUCGAAUAGCAAAAUAUCGAAGACAAAUUAUCGAAGUGGCAGAAUAUCGAAAGCAAAAUAUCGAAUGCGCAAAAUAUCGAAAUCGCAAAAUAUCGAACCGCAAAAUAUCGACAUCGCAAAAUAUCGAAUUGCAUAAUAUCGAAUUGCAAAAUAUCGAACUCGCAAAAUAUGGAAUAGAAUAAUAUCGAAAGCAAAAUAUCGAAACGCAAAAUAUCGAAAGACAAAAUAUUGAAAGACAAAAUAUCGAAAGACAAAACAUCGAAAGACAAAA